AUUCCACAUUGGGCAGACCAGCUCACCAUCGUGAAGUAUGUGGAAAGCGCAUGGGACAUGGGCGUGCGAGUGCAGAAGGGCUUAAAUGGACAAGUGAGGAGGGAGGAGGUUGAGAGAUGCAUCAAGGAAGUGAUGGAUGGAGAGAGGAAGGAUGAGUACAAAAGGAAUGUUGCGAAGUGGAUGCAAAAGGCCAAGGAGGCAAUGCGCCCUGGAGGAAGCUCAGACAAUCAUAUUGCUGAAUUUGCUGCUAAGUAUUCAUCAAGUUAAAAGUAUAGUUAUGCAAUGCUUAUUUCAUGACAAGUAACUAGGCACUGGUUUGAGCCCUACAAAAUGUUUAGGGAGAGAAGUACAUGUUUGCUUUGUUCUGUAAUUGUUCAUGUUAAUCACAUCUUUUGUGCCAUACCAAUUGUUUCUCAUAAAAUCUUAUGGUACUUAAAAUUACUAUUAGUGACGAUGUUGAUGGGUGUUGCGCAGUUGAAAGCCCGGGGCUUUGCGCGGCCGCAGACGCACGCUCCAGCAUAGGCCCAAACACAAUUCAAUUAUUUGAAGAGAAAAAAAGCAAAGCAGGCCAGCUCUAUGCAACACAUCAUAGCCCAUUCUAUAAUUCUGAAAAUUGUAAAAAGAAAAAUUCUAUCCCUAAAAGUUUGAUAAUUUGAAUUUGGAAGUCCAUCUGAAUACUUUUGAAAGUUUGUCCAACAAAAUUGAUAGCUUCAUCCUUGAAACGUUGGAAGUUUUCACAAGAAAAUUGGAGUCCAUCUCGGAAUGCUAAAAGUUUGCCCAUGGAAAUUUGAAAUUUUGUCAAAAAAUAUGAAAGCUUCCAUCUUGAAAUUUUGUCAAAAAUAAUUAGAAGUCCAUCUUAGAUUUUUAUAAGUUUUGUCAAAGAAGUAGAAAGCAUGUCUCUAAAAAUUUAAAAGUUUGUCAACAUUAUGUUGAAAGCUCAUCCACAAUUACUCUUUGAAAAUCCACUCUUUAACAAAAAUUGAAAGUCCGUCUCAAUUUUUUUAAACAAAAAACUAAAAAUUAUCUCAAGAAUUUUGAUAGGAAAUUAUGGCUUUUCUCUGUUUUAGAAGAAUAAAAAAGGAUCAACGGGCAAACAAGGCGCCCUCAAUCGCUCGGGGGAGAUCGUUUAGUUGAAAUUUGACCGGUGUUGAGCUGCGCUAAGUAGUGCACUGACUUUUCUUUGGAAUCCACCAAUUUUCUACAUUGAUCGACGCGUUGCCUACUACGAUCAUUAUCAUGGGGUUUCCUAAUUGGGGGACGACCGCCAAUAUAGAUCCCAGUGGACAAAUUCCGACAGCCCAUUUUUUCGGUAGUCGGAUAAAUUUGUUCCACUUUUAAAAACUUUUUUUUUCUUUCCUGAUCUUUUAUUUUUCGAACUUUUAGUCUUUUUAAAUUUUACUUUUUAUUUGAAACUUUUAAGGUCUUAAUUUUUCAACUUUUAUUUUUGACUUUUCAUUUUUAUAUUUUUUUCAAAUUUUAUUUUAAAUUUUUUUUUGUGAAGGAGCCGAACAGCCCGGAUCCGGCUCGGGGAAGCUGCGGCACGAGGCUCUGGCGUGGCGUGCGGGGAGCAGGCGAGGUGGAGAGGGGGGUUGGGAAGGAGCAGCACGCAGGGGAGAGUGAGGAGGAUCCGCCGCGUCCGCCGCCUCGAGCCACGCAGACACACGAGACGUGAUGCAGGAUGCUACCCUACUGAACGAGAUUUCAGAAAUUAGCGGGACCAAGAAAAAAAAUUGAAAACAAAAUCUGUCGGAAAAACCGGUUAAUUUUUUUAAGCAACUGGUCAAGCAUCAAUAAAGCCUCAGAUAAACGUUGAAUCGUAGACAAUUUCGCUGUAUAUGCCGCCUUUACACAUAGCGUCGUCGAUGGAUCACGGCGCCGCGCCGACUGGCGGCGUGCCCCAUGACUGGUCCUCCUCAUCCUCUGUCGUGGCCCGCCCAUACCCGUGGCCACCGCCGCCGCCGAUCACCUCUAACAUCCUCACCACCCCCGCCGCAGUCGCAGCGCAAGCCAUGGCCACCUGCAGCCGCGCCACGAUUUCCUCCUCCCUGGCCCCGCUGCCCAUCCGCAUGAGCUCCGUGUUGAACACCUCCGCCGUCCUCUCCUCCCGCACAACCGACCGCACCCACCUCGGCAGAUCCACCAGCGCCUCUCCCCUGGUUGCCGCCGCCCGGGAGGCCGGGACCUGCCGGUAAGGAUCUCGAGGAGCACCAUGAGCGAGUACACUCUCACUUGAGCGUGGGCCGACGCAGGUCCACGAGCUCACGGAGGCGGCGGCGCGAAGAGGUGCUGGAGGCGGCCGUACGUAAUCGGAGAGCGCUGUGUCCGGUUGUCUAGGCAGACGCAAACCCGGCCUUGAUAAUUAUCCGCAUGACACAAAUGGACGCACAGGGACAAAAUGAGUCCGGAGUCGCCCCACGAAUCCACGCCGUGAGCUGCCACACAGAUUUGGCCGCAAGCGGAUAAUUUAAUUUUGCAGAAGUUAUACUAUUAAGCGCUUGCACAAGCGUCUAGCUGGCCUAACUUUAAACGAAGAAGUCCAUGUCCAUGGCUAGUAGAUCUUGGAUAUUUUUUUAGGGAGAAACAAUAGAUCAAUUGAUCUACUGAUGUACAAGUAGAUCUUGGAUUUACUGCUGGGAGCAUGCAGGAAGAGAAGGGAAUCUUCAUCUUGCGAGGCAGUCUGCUACAACGCCUAUCAUACAAACAUCUUCGGAGUAGCAAAUUUGUAGCAAAAUCCAGUUUCGCAACCACCAAUUGUGACCUCCCAGAAUCCAGAAGCUUUUGCGCCACUCCACUUGGAUCCUUUGACAAGAAACCCCGACCAAACUGAAUCAUGGACAGCACUGGCACCGGCUCGAGCGUGGCCCAUGAAGGCGGCGAGGGCGCCAACGUCUUCUUCCUCCCGGUCCCAGGGGCGCAGGGCCACACGAACCCGAUGCUCCAGUUUGGCCGCCGCCUGGCUUACCAGUACGGCUUCCGCCCCACGCUCGUCGUCAGCAGCUACACGCUGUCCACGACCCCGCCCCCCGACGCGCCCUUCCGCGUGGCCGCCAUCUCCGACGGCUUCGACGACGGCGGCAAGCCGUCCGGCCCGGACAUGACGGAGUACUUGCGCCGGCUGGAGGCGGUCGGGUCGGACACGCUGGCGCGGCUCCUCUCCGACGAGGCGCGCGCCGGGCGGCCCGUGAGGGUGCUCGUCUACGACCCGCACGUGUCCUGGGCGCGGCGUGUGGCGAGGGACGCCGGCGUGCCCGCUGCGGCUUUCUUCUCGCAGCCGUGCGCGGUGAACAUCUUCUACGGGGAAGUGCACGCGGGGCGGAUGGCGAUGCCCGUGACGGAGAGCGAUGCGUGCGCGCUGGUCGGGGGUGGAACGCUGGGCGUGGAGCUUCGGCCGGAGGAUUUGCCGCCGUUCGUGGCCUUGCCGGAGUGGCACCCGGUGUUCACCAAGACGUCGAUUCGGCAGUUCGACGGGCUGGAGGACGCCGACGACGUGCUCGUCAAUUCCUUCCGCGACCUCGAGCCAACGGUGAGUCAUAAUUAUUUCUGUGGACAAGAUCCAUCGGUAUCCAAACAUUCGGCUGAAAAUUUCAUAAGUCGCAGUCAAUUUUUCGACAAUGCAUGUCACACAAACACAAAAUCAAUACCUACAAUUUACAAAAACUGGAACUGCAAAUAGCGAAGGAAAAAAAGUGCAAUGGAAUUACACAACGUGCAAAUGGAUAUAGCAGUGGUGAAUUAAGCUACAGAGCGACGGAUCCUCGGCCUGCUGGUAUAUAAAUUUGUCUUUUCCUUUUCUGCCGAAAAGCAUAACUCCGCACGAAUCCUUGUGCAGAUCCGGCAGCUGACAAAUUGACCGCGCUCUGGCAAAACUUUUUUGAACUAACUAGACUUAAAUUUUUGAAUGUUUUGCUCCCAUAGUCUUCUAAGUGUACGUACCAUCGGGUUUCUGUGUUAGCCAGCGUUAGUUAGAUCAAACUCAGAUGGGUACAAAUGAACAAAUUUGCUCCGUCAUUUUCUAAAGGGAACUUGGUCAUAGAUAUUUAUGCUUUUAAUCGAGCAGGAGGUAGAAUACAUGGAGUCAACAUGGCGAGCUAAGACGAUAGGCCCAUCCUUGCCGUCCUUUUACCUAGACGAUGAUUGUUUGCUAUCCAACAAGUCUUAUGGUUUCGACCUCUUUAGCGGCGACGAUGGGGUUUGCAUGGAAUGGCUGGAGAAGCAAACCAUUUCAUCAGUUGUGUUUGCAUCUUAUGGGACUUUCUCAAAAUAUGACGAAUCCCAGCUAGAGGAGCUCGGAAAUGGACUAUACAGUUCCGGCAAGCGUUUCCUUUGGGUUGUGAGGUCGGAUGAGGCACACAAGUUAUCACAAGAACUCAAGACGAAAUGUGAGAAGAAAGGACUAAUUGUUCCUUGGUGCCCCCAACUUGAGGUUCUGGCACACAAGGCCACAGGUAUGACAUCAAAAUUACAUUACUUUUUCUUUUCUCAUACAUAAGAGAGUAUUGGGAAAUGACAAAACUUAUUAAGAUCUUAACUUUUUAAAUUCAAAAUAUUCAUGUAGGUUGUUUUUUAACGCAUUGUGGAUGGAACUCAACAUUGGAGGCAAUUUCUAAUGGUGUACCUUUGGUGGGAAUUCCACAUUGGGGAGACCAGCCCACAAUCGCGAAGUAUAUGGAAAGUGCAUGGGACAUGGGUGUGCGAGUGCAGACGGGCUUAAAUGGACAAGUGCGAAGGGAGGAGGUUGUGAGAUGCAUCAAACAAGUGAUGGAUGGUGAGAGGAAGGAUGAGUACAAAAGGAAUGCUAUGAAGUGGAUGCAAAAGGCCAAGGAGGCAAUGCACACGGGAGGAAGCUCAAACAAGCAUAUUGCCGAUUUCGCCACCAAGUAUUCGUCAAGUUAAAAGUGUAGGUAUGCAAUGUUUAUUUCAUGAUAAUUAACUACGCAAUGUUUUGAGCCCUACAAAAUGUUUAGGGAGGAGCACAUUAAUCACAUUUUUGUGGUAACCAUGCUUUGAUGUCAAUUGUUUAAUAUGAAAACUUAUUGUACAUGCUAAUAGAUGGUAACGGCCACAAGUUCAAAUCCUAAACCUGACAUGGGUGCUCGUAUUUACCUAGAUUUAUUUCAAGAUUUAUCCAACAAUAUAUUUUUAGUGAUAGGUGACGUAUCAUUCAACAAGGAGAGGUCAGCUUAGUCUCUCGGAGGUGCUAAUAUGAGUAUGUCUUUUGGAAGUGCUAAUAUGGGUAGGGUGUACAUGUGUGUUUGUUGUCGUCUGUAUUGUGUUUCUUAAAAAAAACUAAAAUCUCGUCUCUUGAAUUAAUUGUAGCUAGAGAAUUAUGACUUUACUCUAUUUUAGAAAAAUAAAAAGGAAAAAAAUUGAAAGCUAAGGAAACUGGGCUUUCACCCUCGCUCGCUUCACGCGGUACGAGUGACAAUGUUGUUGCUCCAAUCUAAUUACAGUCAUUUUGCUCAAGUCUGGAUACUAUUUCGUGUUAGAUAUCAUAGAGAAUACAUCUUCGAGGUAUUUUCAUUGUAAUUAUUAGUCAUUAGGGUUACUUUGUAAUUUUUUGUGCCUAGAUACGAAGAAUUGAAAAAAAAAAACUUGACAACAUAGUAAAGGAGAUACCGCGGCUUGAGGUGCGUGCUGAGCUGCGCUAAGUAGUGCGUUUAGUACGAUCAUUAUGCUUGACAUUUUUUUGGUAAAUAAUACAAGUAUGCUUAAUAGUAUGGAUUUAGUUGUAUAAAAUUACUAAAAUAUAAAAAAGGUCAAAAGGGAAUAUUUUCAAAGAGAUUUUAGAAAUUUGCAUGAGAAAAUAUUAUUUUUAGGAAGGAGGCAAUCGUUAACGGUGUACCACUUAUGGGAAUUCCACAUUGGGGAGGCCAACUCAUAAUUGCAAAGUAUGUGGAAAGCACAUGGGACAUGGGUGUGCGAGUGCAGAAGGCUUAAAUGGACAAGUGCGGAGGGAAGAGGUUGAGAGAUGCAUUAAGGAAGUGAUGGAUAGUGAGAGGAAGGAUGAGUACAAAAAGAAUGCUGCGAAGUGGAUGCAAAAGGCCAAGGAGGCAAUGCACAUGGGAGGAAGCUCAGACAAGCAUAUUGCUGAAUUUGCCGCGAAGUAUUCAUCGAGUUAAAAGUGUAGGCAUGCAAUGUUUAUUUCGUGAUAAGUAACUAGGCAGUGAUUUAUUUCAAGAUUUCUCCGACGGUAUUUUUUCAGUGCUAGGUAUGACGUUUCUAUCAACGAGGUGUCUGGUGUCUCUCGAAGGUACUUAUAUGGGUAGGUCCAGUCCUUUGUCCUAUGGCGCUUGGUGUGGAUAGUUGUCUUUGUGACUUUUAAUCUACCACCACCAACUUGCAUUUCGAAUAUGU
This 6354-nucleotide long non-coding RNA is filed under the name Brachypodium distachyon (stiff brome). RNAcentral describes it as "long non-coding RNA (BDIS_LNC005486)". Lineage: Eukaryota; Viridiplantae; Streptophyta; Magnoliopsida; Poales; Poaceae. The record is from RNAcentral.